UGGGGAAUUUUGGACAAUGGGGGAAACCCUGAUCCAGCCAUCCCGCGUGUGCGGUGAAGGCCUUCGGGUUGUAAAGCACUUUUGGCAGGAAAGAAACGUCGCGGGUUAAUACCCCGCGAAACUGACGGUACCUGCAGAAUAAGCACCGGCUAACUACGUGCCAGCAGCCGCGGUAAUACGUAGGGUGCAAGCGUUAAUCGGAAUUACUGGGCGUAAAGCGUGCGCAGGCGGUUCGGAAAGAAAGAUGUGAAAUCCCAGAGCUUAACUUUGGAACUGCAUUUUUAACUACCGGGCUAGAGUGUGUCAGAGGGAGGUGGAAUUCCGCGUGUAGCAGUGAAAUGCGUAGAUAUGCGGAGGAACACCGAUGGCGAAGGCAGCCUCCUGGGAUAACACUGACGCUCAUGCACGAAAGCGUGGGGAGCAAACAGGAUUAGAUACCCUGGUAGUCCACGCCCUAAACGAUGUCAACUAGCCUGUUGGGGCCUUCGGGCCUUGGUAGCGCAGCUAACGCGUGAAGUUGACCGCCUGGGGAGUACGGUCGCAAG
This 545-nucleotide ribosomal RNA is filed under the name uncultured bacterium. RNAcentral's name for it is "partial 16S ribosomal RNA". It matches the Rfam family "Bacterial small subunit ribosomal RNA", at positions 355 to 892 of the family's 1533-position model. The record is from RNAcentral.